Esox lucius (northern pike) is the source of this 1213-nucleotide long non-coding RNA. The record is from Ensembl. NCBI's taxonomy places the organism in Eukaryota, Metazoa, Chordata, Actinopteri, Esociformes, Esocidae.
UAUGACAACCCACACCGCUAUCAACAAGCAAAACCGAGCAGCAUGUUUUACUGAUGUUUUGAUCUAUUAGAAUGUGGCACAAUGUUCCAAGUCAGUAGCCUGCUCCGUUAUAAUAUUAUUGAAAUAGCAAACCGCAUUUUCACUGGACAUUUUCAAACUUUUAAAAUCAAAAACGCUGGACGCGUAAGCGUGAAUUAUCACUUAGCCACAGCCGUGGAGAAGAAAGCCAUGUUCUGAGAACGUUCAGUGGUGGUGGCCAAACUCUGUAAAUAUGUCUCAGGGCUAUAAAUGUUAGCUAUAUGGGCUCCAUGCUAACCCCAGUCCUCUGUUGGUUAGCAGUGAUGUUUUAGAAGUCCAGUGGGAAAGAAUGCAAGACAGCCUUAUCCUCCAAGCCUUGGACAGGAAAACAAAGUGAUUUCAUCAUUGUACUGAUAUAGAUUCACGCUGAAGGACAAUGACAAGGCAGUAUGCUGGUAUACACUUUACUGGGGCAAAAGGAUUCUGAGUGUUCUGAUGUUCUGAAGUGGAUUACUGGUAUGGAGGCACACAAGAACGGAACGUGCAACUUUAUUAUUGUGUGAUGGCACCUCUACGGGGUAAAAUAUGUUGUCGCUGAAAUAAAUGGAGCAAAAAAUAUAUGUGUUUGCACCCGAGGCGUUCGGCAGCCGUAGAGAAUGAAUUGCGACAGCUGCACAGGCACAGAUAGUUUCAUUGUGCCGCGACAGCAAAAUUGCCCUUGGGGGUGGCAGGAUCCAAGAAUCCGAGGAGGAGGGCGGAGAAAGCCCUGUGUCAGACCUUUCAGUGCCACAACAAUGUCCCGGCACUUAUGCGGUCAGACAGUGGAUUGUCACAGGUUUGUCAGGUGGAUCGCCACGGCAACAACUUUGGGCUAGCAAUGUAGCUUCCAGGAGUUGUGUUCAUAUCCUUGGAACAGGGCAUUAUAAUGCAUCAUAACGUGCAGAUGAAUGGCACGACACCAGGCCAUACCAUAACCUAACCCCAGAGCAACCAUGGGUCUCUCCGUUCAUGAAGCAGACAUGGUCGUCCAGCUGACACUAGGCACACCGUCGGCUAUCUGCUCAUUACAGCUGGAACCGGGAUUCACCGGGAAGGACACACUCCCUCUGUGUGCCAACCGGAGGACAUUCCAGUAUGGCUUUGGGUGCUGGAAGAUGAAUCUCCAUCCAAGUCAAAGGUCUCUAGGAGACUCUGC